Molecule: long non-coding RNA, 314 nt
Organism: Perognathus longimembris pacificus (Pacific pocket mouse)
Lineage: Eukaryota; Metazoa; Chordata; Mammalia; Rodentia; Heteromyidae
Exons: 3
Source: RefSeq, a predicted model, not a curated record
GGACUGGCCAAAAAAAAAAAAAAAAUGAUAGAGAGAGCGAGAGAAGGAAUUGAGAUUUGGGAAAUGGGAAUAGGGAGCCAGCCUGAGAACAAAUCAUGGAAUCUGGGUGACAGUGUGUAAAAGCACUAAUAACUCUUAGGGGCCCAGGCCUGGCGGAGGAGACUAGAGAGUCUGAUGGAAUUCUAGCUGAACAAAGGGGCUUGUCAGGGCUGGGAAUAUGGCUUAGCAGUAGACUGCAUGCCUGCCUAGCAUGCAUGAAGCCCUGGGUUCGAUUUCUCAGUACCACAUAAACAGUAAAGGCUGGAAGUGGUGCU